Molecule: ribosomal RNA, 484 nt
Filed under: uncultured bacterium
Lineage: Bacteria
Description: partial 16S ribosomal RNA
Rfam family: Bacterial small subunit ribosomal RNA
Source: RNAcentral
AUUGAACGCUGGCGGCAGGCCUAACACAUGCAAGUCGAGCGGAUGAAGGGAGCUUGCUCCUGGAUUCAGCGGCGGACGGGUGAGUAAUGCCUAGGAAUCUGCCUGGUAGUGGGGGAUAACGUCCGGAAACGGGCGCUAAUACCGCAUACGUCCUGAGGGAGAAAGUGGGGGAUCUUCGGACCUCACGCUAUCAGAUGAGCCUAGGUCGGAUUAGCUAGUUGGUGGGGUAAAGGCCUACCAAGGCGACGAUCCGUAACUGGUCUGAGAGGAUGAUCAGUCACACUGGAACUGAGACACGGUCCAGACUCCUACGGGAGGCAGCAGUGGGGAAUAUUGGACAAAGGGCGAAAGCCUGAUCCAGCCAUGCCGCGUGUGUGAAGAAGGUCUUCGGGUUGUAAAGCACUUUAAGUUGGGAGGAAGGGCAGUAAGUUAAUACCUUGCUGUUUUGACGUUACCAACAGAAUAAGCACCGGCUAACUUCGUG